GGGCAAUUAGUUUAGUGGUAUAACGUCCGUUUUGCAUCUUGGCAUAUCUACGGAAGGUCGUGAUUUCGAUUAUCACAUUGUCCA
Arthroderma uncinatum is the source of this 84-nucleotide non-coding RNA. The record is from the annotation of a RefSeq genome assembly. Lineage: Eukaryota; Fungi; Ascomycota; Eurotiomycetes; Onygenales; Arthrodermataceae.